RNAcentral lists this ribosomal RNA (1498 nucleotides) under Staphylococcus aureus. RNAcentral describes it as "partial 23S ribosomal RNA". It matches the Rfam family "Bacterial large subunit ribosomal RNA", at positions 1429 to 2925 of the family's 2925-position model. The record is from RNAcentral. Lineage: Bacteria; Bacillati; Bacillota; Bacilli; Caryophanales; Staphylococcaceae.
GUUGAUAUUCCUGUACCACCUAUAAUCGUUUUAAUCGAUGGGGGGACGCAGUAGGAUAGGCGAAGCGUGCGAUUGGAUUGCACGUCUAAGCAGUAAGGCUGGGUAUUAGGCAAAUCCGGUACUCGUUAAGGCUGAGCUGUGAUGGGGAGAAGACAUUGUGUCUUCGAGUCGUUGAUUUCACACUGCCGAGAAAAGCCUCUAGAUAGAAAAUAGGUGCCCGUACCGCAAACCGACACAGGUAGUCAAGAUGAGAAUUCUAAGGUGAGCGAGCGAACUCUCGUUAAGGAACUCGGCAAAAUGACCCCGUAACUUCGGGAGAAGGGGUGCUCUUUAGGGUUAACGCCCAGAAGAGCCGCAGUGAAUAGGCCCAAGCGACUGUUUAUCAAAAACACAGGUCUCUGCUAAACCGUAAGGUGAUGUAUAGGGGCUGACGCCUGCCCGGUGCUGGAAGGUUAAGAGGAGUGGUUAGCUUCUGCGAAGCUACGAAUCGAAGCCCCAGUAAACGGCGGCCGUAACUAUAACGGUCCUAAGGUAGCGAAAUUCCUUGUCGGGUAAGUUCCGACCCGCACGAAAGGCGUAACGAUUUGGGCACUGUCUCAACGAGAGACUCGGUGAAAUCAUAGUACCUGUGAAGAUGCAGGUUACCCGCGACAGGACGGAAAGACCCCGUGGAGCUUUACUGUAGCCUGAUAUUGAAAUUCGGCACAGCUUGUACAGGAUAGGUAGGAGCCUUUGAAACGUGAGCGCUAGCUUACGUGGAGGCGCUGGUGGGAUACUACCCUAGCUGUGUUGGCUUUCUAACCCGCACCACUUAUCGUGGUGGGAGACAGUGUCAGGCGGGCAGUUUGACUGGGGCGGUCGCCUCCUAAAAGGUAACGGAGGCGCUCAAAGGUUCCCUCAGAAUGGUUGGAAAUCAUUCAUAGAGUGUAAAGGCAUAAGGGAGCUUGACUGCGAGACCUACAAGUCGAGCAGGGUCGAAAGACGGACUUAGUGAUCCGGUGGUUCCGCAUGGAAGGGCCAUCGCUCAACGGAUAAAAGCUACCCCGGGGAUAACAGGCUUAUCUCCCCCAAGAGUUCACAUCGACGGGGAGGUUUGGCACCUCGAUGUCGGCUCAUCGCAUCCUGGGGCUGUAGUCGGUCCCAAGGGUUGGGCUGUUCGCCCAUUAAAGCGGUACGCGAGCUGGGUUCAGAACGUCGUGAGACAGUUCGGUCCCUAUCCGUCGUGGGCGUAGGAAAUUUGAGAGGAGCUGUCCUUAGUACGAGAGGACCGGGAUGGACAUACCUCUGGUGUACCAGUUGUCGUGCCAACGGCAUAGCUGGGUAGCUAUGUGUGGACGGGAUAAGUGCUGAAAGCAUCUAAGCAUGAAGCCCCCCUCAAGAUGAGAUUUCCCAACUUCGGUUAUAAGAUCCCUCAAAGAUGAUGAGGUUAAUAGGUUCGAGGUGGAAGCAUGGUGACAUGUGGAGCUGACGAAUACUAAUCGAUCGAAGACUUAAUCAA